Molecule: ribosomal RNA, 336 nt
Filed under: Triticum aestivum (bread wheat)
Lineage: Eukaryota; Viridiplantae; Streptophyta; Magnoliopsida; Poales; Poaceae
Description: partial small subunit ribosomal RNA
Source: RNAcentral
AUGUUGCAAGUAGACAAGCAUCUUGUCUUUCCUUUCACAAAUAUAUGCUAUUCAAAUCCUAGAUGUUGCAAAUAUUUCCUUGCAAGAUUGCGAUCUAAGCACUGCAAUAUGACUAGAGAGCAAGAAGUAUUACUCUAUGAAAGGAAAAUACCAGCUCAAAUUUCCUUCAGUUUGGAAACAUCACCCCCACUGAAGGAGUACCUAAUUCCAGGCAGCCAAACAAAACGACCGUUCAGGAAAGAAACGGAAAACCUUGUGCGCCUGUGCUUGGAUCCGGACGAGACUUGCCUGCUCCUUCCCCGUGCUCCCAUCUGUGCUCCCGCGUACGUGGCUUGA